RNAcentral lists this long non-coding RNA (217 nucleotides) under Lepidothrix coronata (blue-crowned manakin). RNAcentral's name for it is "lncRNA (ENSLCOG00000007526.1)". The record is from RNAcentral. Lineage: Eukaryota; Metazoa; Chordata; Aves; Passeriformes; Pipridae.
AGACUGUCUGAGCUGCAGAGCCGGUUCUGCCACCCUUGGCGGCUCUUUUCCUCUUGGCAGGGGUUUCCCUGAGUGUUCCUGGUGGCUGCCCUCGUUUGGUGUCGGUGAAGUCAUGGAAUAGAAUUCCAGGGAGAGUUCCCUAAAAUAGAAUUGAUGCCCUGCCUGGCACAGGGGCUGCUGCUGAGGGCUGAGCUCACCCCUUAUCACUCACCUCCUC